GAGUUUGAUCCUGGCUCAGGAUGAACGCUAGCUACAGGCUUAACACAUGCAAGUCGAGGGGCAGCAUGAGGUCAGCUUGCUGACUUUGAUGGCGACCGGCGCACGGGUGAGUAACGCGUAUCCAACCUGCCCAUAACUAAGGGAUAAUCCGUAGAAAUGCGGUCUAAUACCUUAUGUUGUCCGAGGAAGACAUCUGAUUCGGACGAAAGAUUUAUCGGUUAUGGAUGGGGAUGCGUCUGAUUAGCUUGUUGGCGGGGUAACGGCCCACCAAGGCGACGAUCAGUAGGGGUUCUGAGAGGAAGGUCCCCCACAUUGGAACUGAGACACGGUCCAAACUCCUACGGGAGGCAGCAGUGAGGAAUAUUGGUCAAUGGACGAGAGUCUGAACCUGCCAAGUAGCGUGCAGGAUGACGGCCCUAUGGGUUGUAAACUGCUUUUAUACGGGGAUAAAAGAUGUCACGUGUGACAUUUUGCAGGUACCGUAUGAAUAAGGACCGGCUAAUUCCGUGCCAGCAGCCGCGGUAAUACGGAAGGUCCGGGCGUUAUCCGGAUUUAUUGGGUUUAAAGGGAGCGUAGGCUGCCGGUUAAGUGUGUUGUGAAAUGCAGGCGCUCAACGUCUGCCUUGCAGCGCAUACUGUCCGGCUUGAGUACGCGCAACGUUGGCGGAAUUCGUCGUGUAGCGGUGAAAUGCUUAGAUAUGACGAAGAACUCCGAUUGCGAAGGCAGCUGACGGGAGCGUUACUGACGCUGAAGCUCGGAAGUGCGGGUAUCGAACAGGAUUAGAUACCCUGGUAGUCCGCACGGUAAACGAUGGAUGCCCGCUGUUUGUCCUCAAGGAUAAGCGGCCAAGCGAAAGCAUUAAGCAUCCCACCUGGGGAGUACGCCGGCAACGGUGAAACUCAAAGGAAUUGACGGGGGCCCGCACAAGCGGAGGAACAUGUGGUUUAAUUCGAUGAUACGCGAGGAACCUUACCCGGGCUUGAAUUGCAGGAGAACGAUCCAGAGAUGGUGAGGUCCUUCGGGACUCCUGUGAAGGUGCUGCAUGGUUGUCGUCAGCUCGUGCCGCGAGGUGUCGGCUUAAGUGCCAUAACGAGCGCAACCCCUCUCUUCAGUUGCCAUCAGGUAAUGCUGGGCACUCUGGAGAUACUGCCACCGCAAGGUGUGAGGAAGGUGGGGAUGACGUCAAAUCCGCACGGCCCUUACGUCCGGGGCUACACACGUGUUACAAUGGUGGGUACAGAGUGUCGGGGGUAUGCAAAUGCCCUCCAAUCAUGAAAACCCUCCUCAGUUCGGACUGGGGUCUGCAACCCGGCCCCACGAAGCUGGAUUCGCUAGUAAUCGCGCAUCAGCCAUGGCGCGGUGAAUACGUUCCCGGGCCUUGUACACACCGCCCGUCAAGCCAUGAAAGCCGGGGGUGCCUGAAGUCCGUGACCGCAAGGAUCGGCCUAGGGCAAAACUGGUAAUUGGGGCUAAGUCGUAACAAGGUAGCCGUA
RNAcentral lists this ribosomal RNA (1493 nucleotides) under uncultured bacterium. Its description in RNAcentral is "16S ribosomal RNA". It matches the Rfam family "Bacterial small subunit ribosomal RNA". The record is from RNAcentral.